This 501-nucleotide ribosomal RNA is filed under the name uncultured bacterium. RNAcentral describes it as "bacterial SSU rRNA". It matches the Rfam family "Bacterial small subunit ribosomal RNA", at positions 30 to 507 of the family's 1533-position model. The record is from RNAcentral.
AUUGAACGCUGGCGGCGUGCUUAACACAUGCAAGUCGAGCGAGAAAGCUCUCUUCGGAGAGUGAGUAGAGCGGCGCACGGGUGAGUAACGCGUGGAUAAUCUGCCCUGAAGAUCGGGAUAACAGUUGGAAACGACUGCUAAUACCGUAUAAUCUGCAUAUUUAACUUUAUGUGGGAAAGGUGGCCUCUAUUUAUAAGCUACCACUUUUGGAUGAGUCCGCGUCUCAUUAGCUUGUUGGUGGGGUAAUGGCCUACCAAGGCAACGAUGAGUAGCUGGUCUGAGAGGAUGAUCAGCCACACUGGGACUGAAACACGGCCCAGACUCCGACGGGAGGCAGCAGUGGGGAAUAUUGCGCAAUGGGGGAAACCCUGACGCAGCGACGCCGCGUGUAGGAAGAAGGCCUUCGGGUCGUAAACUACUGUCAAGAGGGAAGAAACCGUAGAGCAUUAAUACGGCUCUGCGCUGACGGUACCUCUAGAGGAAGCACCGGCUAACUCCGUG